UUUUACAACGAAGAGUUUGAUCCUGGCUCAGGAUGAACGCUAGCGGCAGGCUUAACACAUGCAAGUCGAGGGGUAACGACGGUGCUUGCACCGGGCGACGACCGGCGAACGGGUGCGUAACGCGUAUGCAACCUACCCAUAACUCGAGAAUAGCCCGGAGAAAUUCGGAUUAAUGCUCGAUAAUAUUUCGGAGAGGCAUCUCUCCGAUCUUAAAGUUCCGACGGUUAUGGAUGGGCAUGCGUAGCAUUAGCUUGACGGUGAGGUAACGGCUCACCGUAUUGGCUAUGAUGCUUAGGGGGUCUUAAAGGAUGGUCCCCCACACUGGUACUGAGACACGGACCAGACUCCUACGGGAGGCAGCAGUGAG
This 367-nucleotide ribosomal RNA is filed under the name Chlorobiota bacterium. RNAcentral's name for it is "bacterial SSU rRNA". It matches the Rfam family "Bacterial small subunit ribosomal RNA", at positions 1 to 358 of the family's 1533-position model. The record is from RNAcentral. Lineage: Bacteria; Pseudomonadati; Chlorobiota.